This 468-nucleotide ribosomal RNA is filed under the name uncultured bacterium. Its description in RNAcentral is "partial 16S ribosomal RNA". It matches the Rfam family "Bacterial small subunit ribosomal RNA", at positions 28 to 507 of the family's 1533-position model. The record is from RNAcentral.
GACGAACGCUGGCGGCGGGCUUAACACAUGCAAGUCGAACGGAAAGGCCCUGCUUUUGUGGGGUGCUCGAGUGGCGAACGGGUGAGUAACACGUGAGUAACCUGCCCUUGACGUGGGGAUAACUUCAGGAAACUGGGGCUAAUACCGGAUAGGAGCUCCUGCUGCAUGGUGGGGGUUGGAAAGUUUCGGCGGUUGGGGAUGGACGCGCGGCUUAUCAGCUUGUUGGUGGGGUAGUGGCUUACCAAGGCUUUGACGGGUAGCCGGCCUGAGAGGGUGACCGGCCACAUUGGGACUGAGAUACGGCGCAGACUCCUACGGGAGGCAGCAGUGGGGAAUAUUGCACAAUGGGCGGAAGCCUGAUGCAGAAACGCCGCGUGCGGGAUGACGGCCUUCGGGUUGUAAACCGCUUUCGCCUGUGACGAAGCGUGAGUGACGGUAAUGGGUAAAGAAGCACCGGCUAACUACGUG